UAAGGUAACGGCUUACCAAGGCAACGAUGCAUAGCCGACCUGAGAGGGUGAUCGGCCACACUGGAACUGAGACACGGUCCAGACUCCUACGGGAGGCAGCAGUAGGGAAUCUUCCGCAAUGGGCGAAAGCCUGACGGAGCAACGCCGCGUGAGUGAUGAAGGUCUUCGGAUCGUAAAACUCUGUUAUUAGGGAAGAACAUAUGUGUAAGUAACUGUGCACAUCUUGACGGUACCUAAUCAGAAAGCCACGGCUAACUACGUGCCAGCAGCCGCGGUAAUACGUAGGUGGCAAGCGUUAUCCGGAAUUAUUGGGCGUAAAGCGCGCGUAGGCGGUUUUUUAAGUCUGAUGUGAAAGCCCACGGCUCAACCGUGGAGGGUCAUUGGAAACUGGAAAACUUGAGUGCAGAAGAGGAAAGUGGAAUUCCAUGUGUAGCGGUGAAAUGCGCAGAGAUAUGGAGGAACACCAGUGGCGAAGGCGACUUUCUGGUCUGUAACUGACGCUGAUGUGCGAAAGCGUGGGGAUCAAACAGGAUUAGAUACCCUGGUAGUCCACGCCGUAAACGA
RNAcentral lists this ribosomal RNA (564 nucleotides) under Staphylococcus aureus. RNAcentral describes it as "bacterial SSU rRNA". It matches the Rfam family "Bacterial small subunit ribosomal RNA", at positions 253 to 809 of the family's 1533-position model. The record is from RNAcentral. Lineage: Bacteria; Bacillati; Bacillota; Bacilli; Caryophanales; Staphylococcaceae.